RNAcentral lists this ribosomal RNA (495 nucleotides) under uncultured bacterium. RNAcentral's name for it is "partial 16S ribosomal RNA". It matches the Rfam family "Bacterial small subunit ribosomal RNA", at positions 28 to 507 of the family's 1533-position model. The record is from RNAcentral.
GACGAACGCUGGCGGCGUGCCUAAUACAUGCAAGUCGAACGCUGACGGAGGAGCUUGCUUCUCUGGAUGAGUUGCGAACGGGUGAGUAACGCGUAGGUAACCUGCCUGGUAGCGGGGGAUAACUAUUGGAAACGAUAGCUAAUACCGCAUAAGAGUAGAUGUUGCAUGACAUUUGCUUAAAAGGUGCAAUUGCAUCACUACCAGAUGGCCCUGCGUUGUAUUAGCUUGUUGGUGGGGUAACGGCUCACCAAGGCGACGAUACAUAGCCGACCUGAGAGGGUGGUCGGCCACACUGGGACUGAGACACGGCCCAGACUCCUACGGGAGGCAGCAGUAGGGAAUCUUCGGCAAAGGACGGAAGGCUGACCGAGCAACGCCGCGGGAGGGAAGAAGGGUUUCGGAUCGUAAAGCUCGGUUGUAAGGGAAGAACGAGUGUGAGAGUGGAAAGUUCACACUGUGACGGUAUCUAACCAGAAAGGGACGGCUAACUACGUG